RNAcentral lists this transfer RNA (74 nucleotides) under Acidithrix ferrooxidans. It matches the Rfam family "tRNA". From Rfam's summary of the family: Transfer RNA (tRNA) molecules are approximately 80 nucleotides in length. Their secondary structure includes four short double-helical elements and three loops (D, anti-codon, and T loops). The record is from Rfam by way of RNAcentral. Lineage: Bacteria; Bacillati; Actinomycetota; Acidimicrobiia; Acidimicrobiales; Acidimicrobiaceae. RNAcentral also lists the same sequence under 3 other names.
GGGCGCUUAGCUCAGCUGGUUAGAGCGCAGCCUUCACACGGCUGAGGUCGGGGGUUCGAGUCCCUUAGCGCCCA